CCUACGGGUGGCAGCAGUGGGGAAUAUUGGACAAUGGGCGAAAGCCUGAUCCAGCCAUGCCGCGUGUGUGAAGAAGGCCUUCGGGUUGUAAAGCACUUUCAGUGGGGAAGAAAGCCUUGGGGCUAAUACCCUCGAGGAAGGACAUCACCCACAGAAGAAGCACCGGCUAACUCCGUGCCAGCAGCCGCGGUAAUACGGAGGGUGCGAGCGUUAAUCGGAAUUACUGGGCGUAAAGCGCGCGUAGGCGGUCUGAUAAGCCGGUUGUGAAAGCCCCGGGCUCAACCUGGGAACGGCAUCCGGAACUGUCAGGCUAGAGUGCAGGAGAGGAAGGGAGAAUUCCCGGUGUAGCGGUGAAAUGCGUAGAGAUCGGGAGGAAUACCAGUGGCGAAGGCGGCCUUCUGGACUGACACUGACGCUGAGGUGCGAAAGCGUGGGUAGCAAACAGGAUUAGAUACCCUUGUAGUC
Molecule: ribosomal RNA, 465 nt
Filed under: Vreelandella stevensii
Lineage: Bacteria; Pseudomonadati; Pseudomonadota; Gammaproteobacteria; Oceanospirillales; Halomonadaceae
Description: partial 16S ribosomal RNA
Rfam family: Bacterial small subunit ribosomal RNA
Source: RNAcentral